UCAACAGGCUGAAUUGUUGCCUGGAUAAAGACAUUUUGUUCCUCUGUCAGAUCAUCAGUGAAGGUUUAUAAACCCUCCAUUCCCUGGUUGAAGGCACACUGCUGCUAGUGAGUCCUGCUGCUGCUGCUGCUGCUUGGAUUCUUCAUCACAACAAGAUGAAAUUCGUCCUUUUUACUUUGUUCCUUUGUGGAUUCGUCCUGGAAAUCAAUGCUGGACGUGGUUUUCAAAAACCGAAAAAACCAAGGUCAUUUGGAGGAAUAAGAACUGCUGUGGCAUGUGAGGGAUCAGAGGCUCACUUAUCGUGUGCGCAUGAGGAUAUAUUUGUGAUCAGUGCUAUAUAUGGACGCAGCAAUCGGUUGACGUGCUCCGUUGGGAUACCUGCAGAGCAGACGAAGAACACUAAUUGUGCUACGAGGGCAGAAUCCGUGUUUCAGAGAUGCGAGGGGAAAUCAACGUGCAAUAUCUUAGCCAGCAGCUCUGUGUUCGGAGAUCCCUGUGUUGGGACCUACAAGUACCUGGAUGUGAUAUAUCUAUGUUAAAUUCCAUCUGCAACUGAAUGAAGCGACGAUCAGAUCUGCUGUGCUGAGGAUGAAAUGCAUCAUAAUCAGUAACAUCUACAGACGUUGUGAUCCACUGAUGUGCAGCUUCAUCUGUCUUCAGUUCCUUUUUAUGUUUACUUAGCAUUUUAUUUGUUUUUCUUCUCCAAUCUUCAUCUUUUUUUGCUUCUAUUUCAACUUUCCUCAAUAAACCUGACUUGCAUUUACA
Molecule: long non-coding RNA, 765 nt
Organism: Xiphophorus hellerii (green swordtail)
Lineage: Eukaryota; Metazoa; Chordata; Actinopteri; Cyprinodontiformes; Poeciliidae
Exons: 7
Source: RefSeq, a predicted model, not a curated record